Molecule: ribosomal RNA, 460 nt
Filed under: uncultured bacterium
Lineage: Bacteria
Description: partial 16S ribosomal RNA
Rfam family: Bacterial small subunit ribosomal RNA
Source: RNAcentral
CCUACGGGAGGCAGCAGUGAGGAAUAUUUGUCAAUGGGCGCUAGCCUGAACCAGCCAAGUAGCGUGAAGGAUGACUGCCCUAUGGUUUGUAAACUUCUUUAAUAUGGGAAUAAAGUGCAGUAUGUAUAUUGCUUUGCAUGUACCUUAUGAAUAACGAUCGGCUACAUCCGUGCCAGCAGCCGCGGUAAUACGGAGGAUCACAGCGUUUUCCGGAUUUAGUGGGUUUAAAGGGAGCGUAGGCGGGUUGUCAAGUCCGUUGUGAAAGUUUGCGGCUCAACCGUAAAAUUGCAGUUGAUACUGGCAUCCUUGAGUACAGUAGAGGUAGGCGGAAUUCGUGGUGUAGCGGUGAAAUGCGUAGAUAUCACGAAGAACACCGAUGGCGAAGGCAGCCUGCUGGACUGUAACUGACGCUGAGGCGCGAAAGUGUGGGUAGCAAACAGGAUUAGAUACCCUUGUAGUC